UAGCUUUCAUUUUCUUGUUAAAACUACAAGAAAAUUUUAUUAUGAGUUAAAUUGCAGGGACAAAAUACUGAUGGAAGAGGAUGUGACACUGUCCAGCAAAAGCAAGGAGAUGAUCUAAAAGAUGGCCUGGAAAACUCAUAUGCGGGGACGAUGCCUCAAUGAUGCUGAUAUUCUGGACUCCCACACUUUUUGGUGUUGCUCCUGGUAUACUAACUUGAAGAAUUGCUCCUGCUUUCAUGCUAUCAAAGUCCCUACGCUGCUGGAUUCGGAGAUCUAAACGAAGUUGCUUGGAUGUUUUUGCUUUGAUUGUUGAUGCUGCUCGAAGUGAUAUUGGCUCAAACUGCUAUGGUCCUUAAUUUUCUGUUGUAUUCCCAAUAGGUGGAGCUGCUUGGAGUUUCUUGGUGUUUAUUUUUUCGUUCUGCUUUGGUGAAAAUUUUCAGAUUGUAAUACUGGAAUUGGAGGGUCUUUUCCUUGUGUUGUAUUGGGCUGGAGGUUGGCUCCUUGCUAUCCUCUCCUGCUUUCUUUUGGGGUUUUGAGCGGCAUAUGAUUGCCAUUUCCAUAGGUAUGGUUUGUGAUGCCUAGCUAGUCUUAGUUUGUGAUGCCUAGCUAGUCUCUUUCCCUUUUUAAUCUUUGUAUAUGUAUCUCAUCUACAUUGAUUAAUUAAAUUUGCUUUUGCCUAUCAAAAAAAA
This is a long non-coding RNA of Rhododendron vialii, 689 nucleotides long. RefSeq lists it as uncharacterized. The record is from RefSeq and is a predicted model, not a curated record. The transcript is spliced from 2 exons. NCBI's taxonomy places the organism in Eukaryota, Viridiplantae, Streptophyta, Magnoliopsida, Ericales, Ericaceae.